RNAcentral lists this long non-coding RNA (2902 nucleotides) under Nicotiana benthamiana. Its description in RNAcentral is "long non-coding RNA (NBEN_LNC038858)". Lineage: Eukaryota; Viridiplantae; Streptophyta; Magnoliopsida; Solanales; Solanaceae. The record is from RNAcentral.
GCCGAUGAAAAGAAAAUGAGGAAAGACAAAGCAACUAAAUGAAUUUCAAUACGUUAUUUAAUAUGAAUUCAAUGCUCAAAUAAGCAACAUAACUCCUAUAUUUUUGUAUCCUAAAUCUUAUCAAUAUGUACUCUCAAAUUCUAUAAAGAAACGAUGCAACGGUUGUUUUCACAUAUAAAAGUAAGAACUUUAACUUUGAGAAGUCCAAUAACUAUAAAAUGACAUCAAGUGGACCCAAUAAAAAAACGUGACCAUGAAUGAGAUUAAUGGACUAUCAAUUCUUAUUUUAAACCUUAAUAUGUUCCAAGUUCCUUAUAAGGUUCUCACUUAAAUCACACUCAAUAACGAUAACAAUAAAUUUGAGACAUGCUUAGAGAAGAAUACCACAUUGAAUUUAAGCCAAGGAAGCAGUAACAACCUAAACAAAGCAACCACGGACUAAUUACUUAACACAAACCAAAUAGCAGAGAAUUUCAUGGCUAAAUUUUCAGUGUUUUACAAAGCAAAACAAGAAACAACUCAAGAGUACAAGCAAAGGACCUUAAAACUAAAGUUACACAUUAUAAAUCUAAAAAUCAAUUAAAGUUUAACACUUGAGCACAAAAUGUUCGACAGCUAUGUCGAGCUUUAGAUAAAAAAAGGUCCCAAAUCUACCCAUAAUGAUCAGCCCUACGAGAUAUUUAUCUUUUCAGCAACUAAAAUAUACUAGCAGAAUGUUAUUUAAUUACCAAUAUGUAUAUAACCAUUACAGACUGUAGACUAGAAAUAUGAAUAGUAUGUCGAACGUUUAGUCAAUAUAGUAAAGCGCAUCAAACAUGUAUAAAGAGCUGAAAUGAUCCUCAUAUUCAAUCAAUCACUAUAAAAGCUGCAUUACAAUAUUUAAAGGUUACCUGAAAUGUAGAAAAUACCAAAAUAAAGCAGAAUGAAGUGAAAUUCCAUCAUAAAUGACAGCCAAAAUAGCAACAAAUCAGCAACUUUUAACCCGAGAAACAGCCCAAAAAAGACCCUUAAACUUAGUAGGUUUAAAAGAAAAAGGAUCCCAGCAAUCAACUUCAAUACUCUUAUGAUUUUGAAAGGUUUUGCUCACAGAGAAUGCACUCACAAAAGCUCAACACUUUCAGCUUAUUACUAAAUGUUUAGAUCCUAUUUUUACUCUCAAAGUUGCCUCUUUUUAGUGUAUAAGAGAUGUCUUUUUCAAGUGUGUUCAAGAAACUUCAAAGAUAUCAAAGUGUGUCCUUUUUUUAAGAGUGAAAGGUCCUCCUUUAUAAAGAUUUUUGUUUGGCUAAAAAUAUGUCCAAAACCAGAAUUUUGGUCAAUGAACAGUUUUUCUUACCAGUUGUGGAUAGAAUUUUGGAGUACUGUACUCCAAAAUAGUCCGCAACAGUAAAAGCAACCAAACCAAGAACCUUACACUCAAGUAUUCUUUUUCUUUCUCAAGUAUUCUUUUUCUUUCCCUUUCCUCUUAAUUUUCCAAACCAGGUUCUAUGUUUAAACCAAAACACAUGACUCAUAUUACUCAAAUCUUACUAAAAUACACUCAUAACUAUUGAAGUGAUAAUACACUAAGUAUUUCAACACAGACUAUCAUCAAUCAUUAAACCUAUAGAUUAUAGCUUCAUUAGAACAAAUGAACUCUUGCUUGAAAAGAUCAAUGAUUCAACUAAAUAAAUCAACCAUUUCAGAAUGAAUUGAGAUCAUUGAUGCCAUUGAAUAAUGAUCAAUUAACACAAAUAAACAAGCUAACUGAACUUCAUAACCUAUAUCAAUCAGUUAAUAGAAAAACUAACAAACAAAACUAAGAGCUAAUCAUUCUGACUGUCAAACGAUGAUCCUGAAGCAACAUAAAACAACCAAACUAUCAACUGCUAAUCCUAAACCAAAACACGAUUUGAAUCUAGCAAAUACCACCUAGUUAAACAUGAAAAGAUAAAAUAAGAUAAACUAACAGAAUUGAUCAUGUUUCCCAGGAUAUGCCAAUCAAAAAGGAUAACACGACUAAUACUAAUCAUACCAAACGAGUGCAUAUUAACCAAAAGACUUAAACUUUGAAACAAAAUGCAUAAUUCAAACUAAUAUACAUGAGUCGAGACUAACACUUAAAACUACCUAUAAAUGAUAUAAACAAAUUGAAUUAAAACUAAAACCAAUUGAAAAAUACUACCCAAUUACGUGAUAUUAAACAAGACGGAAACUAAAAUACGAUCCUAGUCUUAAUAACAGAACAAAAAUCAGAAGAAUAAAGAAAAGGGAUAGGAUUAUACCAAACGAGAGAAGUCGAUGCCAAAUCGAACGAGGAGAUACCGAGGACAACGAGUUGUGACUUUCUGACAUUGAAGCGCAAGUUUCCAUUUAGCAGGUGCCAAAACAUUGAAGUUUUGGCAUCAUGCUAAAAGGGAACGAUUGCUUUUAAGUCGAGAUGAAGCUAGAAUGGAGAAGCACUGGUGGUCUUGGAUUAUCGCGGCAGCGGGGUGGUCAGCAGUGGAGGGGUAUGAAUUUUGGGGGUAAAAUUAAAGGGGAAAUAUACAUAUCUUAGAGAUAUACAUGUUCAUGUGAGGCUAUGAGGUAGGAGUCGCUGAUUCAUCACGAAAUUGAGAAAGAAAGAAAGAAAAAUUUGGUGGCUAGGGUUUCGGAUUUGGUCGGAUUUUGCAGAGUUUGAGAGGGAUUUUGAGGGUUUGGGUUAGAGAUAUGGAUAAACAAGGAGGAUACAAGGAGAUGGAGAAAAAACGGGGUUUAUGGGAGGUCAUCCACCGCCGAUGGGCGAUUUUCAGCGGUGGAGUAAGGGCGGUGGGUGGUUCAUUGAGAGAUGAAAGAGUAAAGAGAGAAGUGAUGAAAUUGAUAAUAUGGCAAAUAUAUGGGCAAAUUUUAGCUUCUUAAGAUUUUAAAUACUAAUAAUGAAGAUCAA